This is a long non-coding RNA of Poecilia latipinna (sailfin molly), 960 nucleotides long. RefSeq lists it as uncharacterized. The transcript has 3 exons. The record is from RefSeq and is a predicted model, not a curated record. NCBI's taxonomy places the organism in Eukaryota, Metazoa, Chordata, Actinopteri, Cyprinodontiformes, Poeciliidae.
GUGAGCCAUGAGACGUCAAGUAUCUAUUGUUCAUACCGGCAGCGUCUGCGAAGGGAAAAGUAUCUUUUCACGGCUCACCUUUAAGGAAAACCUUGUCCACAGAAAGGCAAAAUUUAAACUGACAACAGAAAAACCUCUAAAAGCUAAAGGAUAUUGUAUCAAACUAAACGAGCAUCAUGGGACGAGGUGAGAGUGAGGGGUGGGAGGAAGAGCCAAAGACAACUCAGCCCAAGAGUCAAGGGGACAACAAGGAAAACAAGUCGGAGGGUGGAGGCUGUCCAAAGUGCUGCUUGAAGACCAGGGACUGUCUGAUGAGCCCAGAAUGUGGCAGAGCACUGCAGAUCUCCAGUGUUGUCGCCUUCUGCGGAAUGUGCAUCCGUGCAUGGACGUAAUCAUCAAGGCCUUCAGGAAUUCCAUGAACUAUGAAGAAUCCUUCAAUCUCCUGAUUGAAAUAUUUGACCGUAUUCUAAAAUGAAAAAUGUUGAACUUUACUCUUUACUUAGCUUUUCUUAACUGCAGCAAAUAUUUAAUAUAAAGAAAAAUAAGUUAACAGUAUUUUUAAAUAGAUAUGCCAGUUUUUAAAAAUGUCAUACUUUGCCAAAAUAUUUGAUUUAUGUAGAAAGAGGGACGUGUAUUUGUAUGUAUGCAGUAAAUAAUGUCAUAAUGUAGACAGCUGAAAACAAGCUUGUUUGUAUUUAUUGUCAUUUAGAGAAUUAAACGGCGUAAGUUUGAAUGUAUACAAUAACUAAGUAAGUGUCAUUUAUUUUUGUGUUAAAGUAAUUAUUUUGGGUUUACUGUGGUCACAUGUAAGAGAUAAAUAAGGUUUCAUCAUAUUCAUAUUCAAAAGCUGUUGCUACAAUUUGAUCAGAAAAAAAAAAUCUGACAUUCAACAAGGCCUUAAAGUUGAAAACUUUGGUUCAGUUUGCCCAUUUUUAGAGCCUUGUUAAUUUUAUGAAACAA